Molecule: long non-coding RNA, 824 nt
Organism: Oreochromis niloticus (Nile tilapia)
Lineage: Eukaryota; Metazoa; Chordata; Actinopteri; Cichliformes; Cichlidae
Exons: 5
Source: RefSeq, a predicted model, not a curated record
CUAGCGCGCUGGCUGCAGCUGAUUUGCAAACAUCAGGUUUAGGCGACGUCACCGUUUGUGCCGAAACUUGAGUGUAACGUGCAAGUCUUGAUUGCAAACUUGACAUGGGACACUUUUGUUUUCUUCUCAUUCUGAACCUGAACCACAAGGCAGACACCCUCCAGCCAGACAUGGUCACAUCAUUGUAAUGGUGGAUUCAAAGAUCUACAUUCAUUCACUUUGGAGCAUGAAGUGGGAGAAAGUGCAAGCCAAAGGAGAUAUUCCACCAGGAGUAGCUGCGCACUCAGCUGUUGUGCUGGGCAAGAAUAUUUACAUGUUUGGAGGGAUGACAGCAGAUGGAGCAAGCAACUCCAUGUACAGAUUUAACACUGGGUGUGAUGAUGGGAAUCCAGAGGAGGAGCGAGCCAAUGGACCAGCACCCCCUGAGGCAAUAAACCUGUUAUUUGUAUUUGGAGGCAUGAAUACUCUGGGUACCAUAUAUAAUGGAUUUUGUAAAGGAAAAAAAAAAAGAUGUAGGAAUAAAAUAUUUUACAUUAUAAUUACGUUUAAAGCUUCUACCAUUACAUGCUGAAAGAAAAAAAAAAGUUUGAAAUUCAGGUACAAAAUUGAAAUUUCAUAUACUGAAAGGUCAAGAUUUCAGAGGGUUGACUUCACCAAUGUGGACCCUGAAACUAUAAAUUAAAACAGGACAGAAAACAGUUUGUAUCAAACAUUUAUUUCAAUGUCUUUCCAGAAGUACAAUAGCCAGAUUCAAUAAAUAAACUUUAGCACUGCCUGUGAACAUGAAGAGCCCUUCAUCCCACAGACACCAUUUUCAGUGUACC